RNAcentral lists this ribosomal RNA (329 nucleotides) under uncultured bacterium. RNAcentral describes it as "bacterial SSU rRNA". It matches the Rfam family "Bacterial small subunit ribosomal RNA", at positions 8 to 334 of the family's 1533-position model. The record is from RNAcentral.
AGAGUUCGAUUAUGGCUCAGGAUGAACGCUGGCGGCACGCUUAACACAUGCAAGUCGAGCGGAGGGAGAGGUGCUUGCACCUCGAACUUAGCGGCGGACGGGUGAGGAACGCGUGGGUAACCUGCCCUAUACAGGGGGAUAACACAGAGAAAUCUGUGCUAAAACCGCAUAAGCCUACAGUACCGCAUGAUACGGUAGGAAAAACUCAGGUGGUAUAGGAUGGGCCCGCGUCUGAUUAGCUAGUUGGAGAGGUAACGGCUCACCAAGGCGACGAUCAGUAGCCGGUCUGAGAGGAUGGACGGCCACAUUGGGACUGAGACACGGCCCAA